This 406-nucleotide ribosomal RNA is filed under the name uncultured bacterium. RNAcentral's name for it is "partial 16S ribosomal RNA". It matches the Rfam family "Bacterial small subunit ribosomal RNA", at positions 29 to 526 of the family's 1533-position model. The record is from RNAcentral.
AUUGAACGCUGGCGGCAGGCCUAACACAUGCAAGUCGAACGAGUGGCGGACGGGUGAGUAAUGUCUGGGAAACUGCCUGAUGGAGGGGGAUAACUACUGGAAACGGUAGCUAAUACCGCAUACCAUCAGAUGUGCCCAGAUGGGAUUAGCGUGUUGGUGGGGUAACGGCUCACCAAGGCGACGACCCCUAGCUGGUCUGAGAGGUUGACCAGCCAAACUGGAACUGAAACACGGUCCAGACCCCUACGGGAGGCAGAAGAGGGGAAUAUUGGAAAAGGGGCGCAAUCCUGAUGCAGCCAUGCCGCGGGUAUGAAGAAGGCCUUCGGGUUGUAAAGUACGUUCAGCGGGGAGGCGUUACCCGCAGAAGAAGCACCGGCUAACUCCGUGCCAGCAGCCGCGGUAAUAC